Molecule: ribosomal RNA, 392 nt
Filed under: uncultured bacterium
Lineage: Bacteria
Description: partial 16S ribosomal RNA
Rfam family: Bacterial small subunit ribosomal RNA
Source: RNAcentral
AUACGGAGGAUCCGAGCGUUAUCCGGAUUUAUUGGGUUUAAAGGGUGCGCAGGCGGCCAUUUAAGUCAGCGGUUAAAUCGUGGGGCUCAACCCCAUUCUGCCGUUGAUACUGGGUGGCUUGAUUGCGGUCGAGGUUGGCGGAAUUCGUUGUGUAGCGGUGAAAUGCAUAGAUAUGACGAAGAACACCGAUUGCGUAGGCAGCUGACCAGACCGCAAAUGACGCUCAUGCACGAAAGUGCGGGGAUCGAACAGGAUUAGAUACCCUGGUUGUCCGCACAGUAAACGAUGAAUACUUGUUUUCGGCGAUAUAAUGUCGGAGGCAAAGCGAAAGCGAUAAGUAUUCCACCUGGGGAGUACGCCGGCAACGGUGAAACUCAAAGGAAUUGACGGGG